This is a non-coding RNA of Xylariaceae sp. FL0594, 120 nucleotides long. The record is from the annotation of a GenBank genome assembly. NCBI's taxonomy places the organism in Eukaryota, Fungi, Ascomycota, Sordariomycetes, Xylariales, Xylariaceae.
GGUUUCGUGGCCCAAUGGCAAGGCGUCUGACUACGAUUGCGAUUCAUGAGUUUUGAAUAAAAGAUUCCUGGAGAGCGUGUUGUUAUCAGGAGAUUCUGGGUUCGACCCCCAGCGAGAUCA